This 468-nucleotide ribosomal RNA is filed under the name uncultured bacterium. RNAcentral describes it as "partial 16S ribosomal RNA". It matches the Rfam family "Bacterial small subunit ribosomal RNA", at positions 28 to 507 of the family's 1533-position model. The record is from RNAcentral.
GACGAACGCUGGCGGCGUGCUUAACACAUGCAAGUCGAACGGAAAGGCCCUGCUUUUGUGGGGUGCUCGAGUGGCGAACGGGUGAGUAACACGUGAGUAACCUGCCCUUGACUUUGGGAUAACUUCAGGAAACUGGGGCUAAUACCGGAUAGGAGCUCCUGCUGCAUGGUGGGGGUUGGAAAGUUUCGGCGGUUGGGGAUGGACUCGCGGCUUAUCAGCUUGUUGGUGGGGUAGUGGCUUACCAAGGCUUUGACGGGUAGCCGGCCUGGGAGGGUGGACGGCCCCAAUGGGACUAGGGUACGGCCCAGAAUCCAACGGGAGGCAACAGGGGGGAAUAUUGCGCAAUGGGGGGAAGCCUGAUGCGACAACCGCGGGUGCGGGAUGACCGGCUUCGGGGUGUAAACCGCUUUGGCCUGUGACGAAGCGGGAGUGACGGUAAUUGGUAAAGAAGCACCGGCUAACUACGUG